Long non-coding RNA from Oncorhynchus kisutch (coho salmon), 965 nucleotides. RefSeq lists it as uncharacterized. NCBI's taxonomy places the organism in Eukaryota, Metazoa, Chordata, Actinopteri, Salmoniformes, Salmonidae. The transcript is spliced from 4 exons. The record is from RefSeq and is a predicted model, not a curated record.
AAGAAGAAGCCCAAAUACAAUCUGCCCUUGCCCAGUAUACAUACAAGGUCAGGGGACAACACUGGUUUUCAUCUUGUAGUUCAACUUGUUUUAUACACAGUUUAAAGGGAUAGUUCAUCCAAAUUACAAAAUGACUUAAGUUACGUUUACAUUUCAUUUCAAAUCCAAUGCAUCCAAAGUGUACAUUAGUCUUUCCUGGUUCAUAACAUAUUUUUUGGUCCCUUUCAGAUCACAGCCAUGUCAACAGUGGGCGUCAGGCUUGUAAGAGACAUGAAUUAUCUGUGAGAUUCAGUGAACAAGGCUAGAAGGACUGGGUAUUGGCUCCUACGGGUUACUCUGCCUUCUACUGUGAUGGAGAAUGCCUCUACCCUCUGUGUUCCUGCAUAAACUCCACCACCCACACUAUGAUCCAACUAGUGGUUUGUUGAACAUGAGUGGAAAUGAAACUCCAGCACACUGGUAGCACUAAAGACGUGUGAGUAUAACUUUUCCAGGUGAGUUGAACCUGCCUGUGGGUGCAGUGGGGAUAUUCCUGGGAGGUCUACUGAUGAAGAGGUAUAAGCUUGGCGUUGUGUCUGGAGCCCAGCUGUCUUUCGUCACCUCCUUCAUGGCCUACCUCCUCCUCCCUCUGCAGUCUGGCACUAAGUGUGACAACGUUCAGGUGGCUGGUCUGACCGUGUCCUACAACGGGUCCCCUGGUGUACGAUGGCAGCCUGUUGUCAGAGUGUAACAGAGACUGCUACUGCUUGGCUGGGGAGUGGGACCCUGAGUGUUCAGACAACGGCAUCACUUACACCUCCCCCUGCCUCGCAGGCUGCUCCAGCUUUACAGGUUACGGCAAGAACACGUACCAAUACUAUUAAUGUACUGAGUGUACAAAACAUUCACAGGGAUGCUGGCCCAUGUUGACUCCAAUGCUUCCCACAGUUGUGUCAAGUUGGCUGUAUGUCUUUUGAGUGGUGGAC